UGUAGCAGCUACUGUAUAUCACCCUGCAACUCACAACUAGUAACCCAUUGAAGCUAAGCAGGUCUGAGCCUGGUCAGUACCUGGAUGGGAGACCUCUUGGGAAAACCUAAGGUUGCUGCUGGAA
Molecule: ribosomal RNA, 124 nt
Organism: Lepisosteus oculatus (spotted gar)
Lineage: Eukaryota; Metazoa; Chordata; Actinopteri; Semionotiformes; Lepisosteidae
Source: Ensembl